UUUACACAUGCAAGUCGAACGGCAGCACGAGAGAGCUUGCUCUCUUGGUGGCGAGUGGCGGACGGGUGAGUAAUGUAUCGGAACGUGCCCAGUAGCGGGGGAUAACUACUCGAAAGAGUGGCUAAUACCGCAUACGCCCUACGGGGGAAAGGGGGGGAUCGCAAGACCUCUCACUAUUGGAGCGGCCGAUAUCGGAUUAGCUAGUUGGUGGGGUAAAGGCCUACCAAGGCGACGAUCCGUAGCUGGUUUGAGAGGACGACCAGCCACACUGGGACUGAGACACGGCCCAGACUCCUACGGGAGGCAGCAGUGGGGAAUUUUGGACAAUGGGGGGAAACCCUGAUCCAGCCAUCCCGCGUGUGUGAUGAAGGCCUUCGGGUUGUAAAGC
This 388-nucleotide ribosomal RNA is filed under the name Alcaligenes sp. 03. RNAcentral's name for it is "bacterial SSU rRNA". It matches the Rfam family "Bacterial small subunit ribosomal RNA", at positions 48 to 431 of the family's 1533-position model. Lineage: Bacteria; Pseudomonadati; Pseudomonadota; Betaproteobacteria; Burkholderiales; Alcaligenaceae. The record is from RNAcentral.